RNAcentral lists this ribosomal RNA (1044 nucleotides) under Triticum aestivum (bread wheat). Its description in RNAcentral is "partial small subunit ribosomal RNA". Lineage: Eukaryota; Viridiplantae; Streptophyta; Magnoliopsida; Poales; Poaceae. The record is from RNAcentral.
AUGGUAAAGCCGGCCGACGUGCUCGGCCUCACGCGGGGCUACAAGCUGGAGCCUCACGACGACGAGGCGGUGGAAUAUUACCUGCUCCGUCGACUCCUUGGCCAGGAGCUCCCGCUGGAGGGCAUCAUCCUCGAGGACGAUCCGCUGAGCGCGCCGCCAUGGGAGCUCUUGAACAAACACGAGCUGGAGGACAAUGCUUUCUUCUUUGCCCACGGGCAAACCAUCGACAGCAAGGGCAGUCGGAACAAGCGGACCUGCGCGGGCGGCGGGUGCUGGGAAGGGCAGAAGGUCCUCGUGGAUGACAAGGAGCUCAUCGUCCCCGACAGCGGCAUGGAGAUCACCUGGAAGAAGUACCAGCUCAACUUCCACAACGACGGCGAGAAGGGCAGCACGGGGUGGGUCAUGCACGAGUACUCCGUCACAGCCCCGCCCGAUCUGGCCUCGUCGUCGCUCAGGCUGUAUCGCAUUUUGUUCAGUGGCCACGGCAAGAAGCGCAAGAGGGAGCCCGAUGAUUACGGCCGCGACCACGACGGUGGAGCUCGCGCGGCCACCCGGCAACCCAUAGACGAAGAGUCCGAACUUCAUCUUCUCGAGGAGCGGAUUUCGGCGUCGGCAGAUUUCGGCAGAUCUUCAGAAGAUCAGGAUGGCUACGGUAACGCGGGAAACGCGACAGAGGAUCAUCACCUGCUGGGUUCUUCCCAUGACUUGGGCCGCUCGUGGUUCUUGCCAGGCGGAGACCAUGGAGUAGGGCCGGCCGCGGCGACAUCAGGUCAAGACGCCCCAGCAGCUGGCGUGAUACAUGAGUUCGCCGGUGCAGAUGAUGGUGUUGCGACGGUGGAAGGAACGCUACCGUCCUCCGGCGCGAUGGACGAGUCCUUCUUAGAUAUCGAGCUGCCAGAGAACAUCAACUUCGACGAGUUCUUUGCCUUUGACGAGGUGUGCGGUUUGGAGGGACACCUCGACGGCCAGUUCUCCGGCACCAGCAUGCAUACGCAAUUUUCCGGGAUGCAGCCCAGGCCGAAUCCUUACUACAUGAGUUGCUAA